GAAACGGAUUAAUAUUUCCGUACCUUGGAUAGCUGCGAUGGAGAGACGGAGAAGGCUAGGUGAGCCGGGCGUUGGUAGUCCCGGUGAAAGUGCGUAGGCUGAGGACUUAGGUAAAUCCGGGUCCUUAAGGCCGAGACACGAGACGAGCACCCAAGGGUGCGAAGUCAUUGAUGCCAUGCUUCCGGGAAAAGCCUCUAAGCUUCAGAUGAACAUUGACCGUACCCCAAACCGACACAGG
This 238-nucleotide ribosomal RNA is filed under the name uncultured Vexilliferidae. Its description in RNAcentral is "partial Bacterial large subunit ribosomal RNA". It matches the Rfam family "Bacterial large subunit ribosomal RNA", at positions 1422 to 1663 of the family's 2925-position model. Lineage: Eukaryota; Discosea; Flabellinia; Dactylopodida; Vexilliferidae. The record is from RNAcentral.